GCGGGAUGCAACCCGAGUUCCGCGCGAGGGGCGGCCCCGCCCGCCAUUAGCGGCAGGGAGGCGCUGUCCCGCGGCGUGUGAGCGGGGUUCCUGAGGCACCCCAGACCCUCUGUGACAAGCACCGCACCGUCCCCUCCCCGGUGGCCGUGCCCCGAGUGAUGGCUGCCGGUGGUGAACCUGCGGCGCAGAACGGGCGCACAGGGAAGGGCCUGCGGACGCCUCGUGCCCGCUGCGCUUUGGCGCCUUUUUCCCCCUCACGGGCAGCGCGCGGCCCCUGAGGGGAGUUUGGCGCCUUUUUCCCCUCACGGCCAGCGCGCGACUCCUGAAGCCCCUGGGCUGCCGUGAGGCCACGGGGAAAUGCUGCGGGGUCGUGUCCGAGCCCGAAUAAUAUCCCAUAAAAUCAGCGAUGGAGUCAGGUGCACCGUCCGUCAGUGCUGGGAGAUCCUGCUCUGUGCCGAAAUGGCUGUUUGGAAUGGCAGCGUUUUCAGAGGCGGUUCAGUGGAGCAGGAUGAGCUCUGAGGGCAGCGGGAAGGUGCCGGCGUUUGGGAGAAGGUCAGGAAAGGGAUAGCGUUAGGGAUGGCUGGGAAGGCAGCGAGAUGGACCCCGGGUAUUAAAUACGAUCAUACAUGAUAAUUGUCAAUUAAAUGAGCCUGACGAACUCAAAACACUGCUGCGGAAUCUCACGGGAUUAUAAAUUUCCUAGUAGUCUGGGAGCAGUGGAAUUGUCCACAAUUCCUUGCAGCAAUCAGCAAAGUAAUCACACACAGGUAAAACCCUCACAAAUAUCAAACAAGGUGAAGCAUGUGGAUUGAGGGUGUGAAGAAGACGAAGAGUUUCAGAUCUCAGCAUUCAGCUUUACAGCCUUUUACACUGAAAAUUAUCAGUGACUGAACUAAAUAUGAAAACUUAGGCAGUGAAACUUGAAAUUGAAAUUUUGUUACUGAAUGUUUGACGUUGAAAUUGAAUGUUUGGCAUUGAAAUGCUCUCACGUGGCCAAUAAGAUAUAUUUCUAGACAUUCAUGUGUGAGAAUUUGUGUGGAUCUGAGGAAAGCCAAGGGGGUUGAUACCUGCCUAACCCAAAAGGAUAGAAGGUAGAAGGUGAAAAAAAGAAAAACUAACUGAACAUGGGUUGCUGCAAGUUGGGUCCAUUUUUCUUGAUGCUUACAGUUCCACUGGCCCAAGUGUGUUUUCCUGCUUAAAUAAACUUAUUUUUAUGAACAAAUAAAGCGACAAGAGCUCUGCCCUCAUCUGCUUAGACUCUGCUGACUAUACCUACAAUAGCCAUUUAUUGACAUGCAGCAGAAUAAUCUGUGACUUCAAUUUGAUAUUAAAACAAGAGUUGAAAAGAUUCCUCAGCCAGCAAAAUACAUCACACUAGUUCACCAACUUCACUGGGUCAGGAAAAGGUAAAGAAAAGUUCACAUCUUACUGCGGUAAAAUCCACGUCCCUUCCCCGAAAAUCUGCUGCAUUGAAAGGAAUUACUGUACCUCAUAGAGGCUGCGGGAGGAACUGUACGGCCAGGGAAUGGCUCCGUACUCUGCAAGGAGAACACCUGGCUAUGAGAUUCCUGAAGGCUAAAGUGUUGUCCCUUCUGAAAUGAUGAGGCUUUGGCUGUCCUGACCCACGUCAAUGACACUGCCACAGUGGACUGGGCAUAUGUAAG
Molecule: long non-coding RNA, 1664 nt
Organism: Cyanistes caeruleus (blue tit)
Lineage: Eukaryota; Metazoa; Chordata; Aves; Passeriformes; Paridae
Source: RefSeq, a predicted model, not a curated record